GACGAACGCUGGCGGCGUGCCUAAUACAUGCAAGUCGAACGAAGCUGUUUUAACUGGCGCUUGCACCGACUUAAACAACUGAGUGGCGAACGGGUGAGUAACACGUGGGUAACCUGCCCCAAAGCGGGGGAUAGCAUUUGGAAACAGAUGCUAAUACCGCAUAACCACAGAAACCACAUGGUUUCUGUGUCAAAGAUGGUUUCGGCUAUCACUUUGGGAUGGACCCGCGGCGUAUUAGCUAGUUGGUAAGGUAAUGGCUUACCAAGGCAAUGAUACGUAGCCGAACUGAGAGGUUGAUCGGCCACAUUGGGGCUGAGACACGGCCCAAACUCCUACGGGAGGCAGCAGUAGGGAAUCUUCCACAAUGGACGAAAGUCUGAUGGAGCAACGCCGCGUGAGUGAAGAAGGUUUUCGGAUCGUAAACUCUGUUGUCAGAGAAGAACGUGUGCGAGAGUAACUGUUCGUGCAGUGACGGUAUCUGGCCAGAAAGCCACGGCUAACUACGUGCCAGCAGCCGCCGCAG
This 523-nucleotide ribosomal RNA is filed under the name uncultured bacterium. Its description in RNAcentral is "partial 16S ribosomal RNA". It matches the Rfam family "Bacterial small subunit ribosomal RNA", at positions 28 to 523 of the family's 1533-position model. The record is from RNAcentral.